UGGAGAGCGGGCAGCAGGUCCUCCUAACGCAGUGUACCCCUGCGCCUGGCCUCCCAGCUGGGCAGCAACCCCACGGCUUGUGUUUCUCCCCAUCUCCCACCACCAACACAUGAGGACAAAACUGGCCCAGCGAGAGAUUGUCACCAGAAGACAGAGCAGCUGGAAGUAAUUUGGGACUUCUCAGAAUGCCAGGAGAGACAGAUACACGAAUGCCAGGAGAGAUAGAGCUCCUCAGCGAGGACUUGCUAACAGAUUAUUGGCAAAGUCUACUGACCAGGAAGAGCGUGUAGAGAAUAUUGCAGCAUGUUACAAGGUUGUCCUUUCCAGAGGAGGAAAGGAAUCAGCCAUGGCCACCUGGCCACUGGACACAUAGCUAGCAGCCUGGCCCAACCGUCUUCAAGGCUGCUUUGUCACCAAAAGCUGGACAGAGAACCACCUGUCAGCAUGAAUUCCUCUGAACUAAGUGUAAUCUAAGACGCAGAAGGAAUGUAGGAAUUAGAAAACUGCCAUUUUGCGUCCCCUUCUUAAAAUACUGUAGCCUGGCAGUGACCCUUAGCAGACAGUUGUGUGAACAGGUGACAGAAAAUGUUGUAACAGAAGGCUGACCUGAAAAUGUCUCAAUCCCCUGAUAAUUUUAGUGUCAUUACAAAGGAGACUGCCAAGCUUUAUGCACCUCUUGGUGGGACACACUUGAAAACAAAAAAACACACAGGUGAAGUACUACUGCCUGACAUAUUUAACCUGAAUCUAAUCCUAGUAUUUUAUAGGAAGUGUAGUAGCAGUAAAACAUAUUAACACCAUCACAAGAAUAAAACUGUCCAAAUCCAGAACACGCAGAAUUGUAUAUGCCUCUGAGCCAACCUCCUUACCAGAGUACAUGAUGGUUCUAUAUGGAAUGGGUUUGGGUUCAUCACACAAUCUACAAUGGGCAACAACAGAGCAAAGGGCAGGAAGGGUGAUUCUCCCCCUCUUCUUGAGCUGGAUCAUUCAUUUUCUGCUGUCCUGGGACAUCCAUGGACACAUGAACUCUGACAGGGCCUUGUACCUCUUUCCCUUCUCGCCUUGCCACUGAAUGGCACAAGAGCUCUCCCCUUUCUCCAGCUUCCAGACCCUGCGAAGUCUCAGUAACCACUGGAGCCAAUUCCUAUAAGAAAUCUCAUCCAUCCACCUAUCUAGACAGCUAUAAUCUAUCUAGUUAAAAGAACCCUAACGUCAUGUAUCCAAAAAUAAACAUUUUUAAUUUAAUAUAAAAAUCAUCGUGUGUAAU
Molecule: long non-coding RNA, 1267 nt
Organism: Octodon degus (degu)
Lineage: Eukaryota; Metazoa; Chordata; Mammalia; Rodentia; Octodontidae
Exons: 3
Source: RefSeq, a predicted model, not a curated record